UGAGAUUCUGGUGCUUUGUCCAUAC
This 25-nucleotide non-coding RNA is filed under the name Rattus norvegicus (Norway rat). The record is from RNAcentral. Lineage: Eukaryota; Metazoa; Chordata; Mammalia; Rodentia; Muridae.